CUGUGUGUUGUUGGGUAGGGGAGCGUUCUGUAAGCCUGUGAAGGUGUGUCGUGAGGCAUGCUGGAGGUAUCAGAAGUGCGAAUGCUGACAUAAGUAACGAUAAAGCGGGUGAAAAGCCCGCUCGCCGGAAGACCAAGGGUUCCUGUCCAACGUUAAUCGGGGCAGGGUGAGUCGACCCCUAAGGCGAGGCCGAAAGGCGUAGUCGAUGGGAAACGGGUUAAUAUUCCCGUACUUGGUGUUACUGCGAAGGGGGGACGGAGAAGGCUAUGUUGGCCGGGCGACGGUU
This 286-nucleotide ribosomal RNA is filed under the name Salmonella enterica subsp. enterica serovar Senftenberg. RNAcentral describes it as "partial 23S ribosomal RNA". It matches the Rfam family "Bacterial large subunit ribosomal RNA", at positions 1214 to 1503 of the family's 2925-position model. RNAcentral also lists the same sequence under 2 other names. The record is from RNAcentral. Lineage: Bacteria; Pseudomonadati; Pseudomonadota; Gammaproteobacteria; Enterobacterales; Enterobacteriaceae.